RNAcentral lists this ribosomal RNA (467 nucleotides) under uncultured bacterium. RNAcentral describes it as "partial 16S ribosomal RNA". It matches the Rfam family "Bacterial small subunit ribosomal RNA", at positions 28 to 507 of the family's 1533-position model. The record is from RNAcentral.
GACGAACGCUGGCGGCGUGCUUAACACAUGCCAGUCGAACGGAAAGGCCUCUUUCGGGGGGUACUCGAGUGGCGAACGGGUGAGUAACACGUGAGUAACCUGCCCUUGACUUUGGGAUAACUUCAGGAAACUGGGGCUAAUACCGGAUAGGAGCUCCUGCUGCAUGGUGGGGGUUGGAAAGUUUCGGCGGUUGGGGAUGGACUCGCGGCUUAUCAGCUUGUUGGUGGGGUAGUGGCUUACCAAGGCUUUGACGGGUAGCCGGCCUGAGAGGGUGACCGGCCACAUUGGGACUGAGAUACGGCCCAGACUCCUACGGGAGGCAGCAGUGGGGAAUAUUGCACAAUGGGUGGAAGCCUGAUGCAGCAACGCCGUGUGCGGGAUGACGGCCUUCGGGUUGUAAACCGCUUUCGCUCAUGACGAAGCUCUGUGUGACGGUAGUGGGUAAAGAAGCACCGGCUAACUACGUG